Long non-coding RNA from Cottoperca gobio, 998 nucleotides. RefSeq lists it as uncharacterized. NCBI's taxonomy places the organism in Eukaryota, Metazoa, Chordata, Actinopteri, Perciformes, Bovichtidae. The transcript is spliced from 3 exons. The record is from RefSeq and is a predicted model, not a curated record.
CUAUGUUGUAUAGGUACAGUGUUACUUGUUUGAUGGGUAUUCUGUGCUGAGAUGGGGCACAUAUGUUUAAUACAUGUUAUGUAUUUCUAAUACAUUUCUCGUGUGGUGUUAUUUCAUAUAACUAAAAAGAAGUGUAAAUGGAUUGCGUCAAAUUAUUUCAAGGGACAUGCAUGAGGGGAUCGCCAGUAUAUUCUCUAUCUUGUGAGGGGUCCUCGGUUGAAAAACCUCUGCUUUACUCUUCCCUCGAUAAAAGGUCAGUUUGGCGUAAAUAUAUUUGAGUAACAUUUGCAUAUGAACCUCGGAUAAAAACUAGUAACUCGGUGUUUUCUUACAGCCCAGAUUGUGUCCUUGUUGAUCCGUGCAGAGAACACCGACAACUGCUGGAUUCUUCAUGCUGCCAACAACAACACACAAACCAAAGAGCUUUCAUUAGUCUUUAACAUGACGACAAUUAAAAUAAAAACUCACACAGUCUUUUAUUAACUUACGUAUCAUCGAGAUGCUGCUCGAGGGUCGACUCCAUUAUUAAAAAACGUAAAUUACUGCAAAAUUCAAGUUUUGGGUAUGAAGAUUUGUUGUUUUGGUUGUCUGCUUCCUCAAAGCUUCCGGUUGGAGUCAGCUGACCGUCACGUGCAGAUAAUGAUCCCUGUGAGGAGCAAAAUACACGAAGCGCGCUAAAAUAAUAAACAAGACGGACCAAAAAACGCGACGCUGGAGGCCACCACAUGGGCUCACCUCCCUGCAUGAUUUCUACUGCCUGGCCCAAGAUGGCGAGGCUUCAGUGCUCUUGCUGACAGGGCAGAAACGGGUGAAUGUAAUUAUGUGGCCGCUGCAUUGGAGGAAUCCAUCACCUGUGCAGCAGCAGGAUAAUGUGCUGCGGACUAACCCAUGGGGCAAAUAUGUACAAGAAGAGGGGACUACUGUGAGCCUCCAUCAGCCGCCAUGCCGAUGAGUAAGAUGAUGAAGCUUCUGAGGAAACAGGCAGAGAGGGCGUGGGG